Molecule: long non-coding RNA, 364 nt
Filed under: Felis catus (domestic cat)
Lineage: Eukaryota; Metazoa; Chordata; Mammalia; Carnivora; Felidae
Description: lncRNA (ENSFCAG00000050697.1)
Source: RNAcentral
GGCUCGCCGCCUUAGAACGGUGACUACAUUUGGAGAUCUGCAGAUGCGUCUUUGACGUCGUGGCAAACCCGGCUUCAGGUUGACCAGUGGCUGGCCGGACAAAUGACUGUGGACAGGAUGGUGCAAACCACAUCCGGGAGGAAUUGUCAGCAAGUUCUCAGCGACUAGAAGCUCAGUUUUCUUCUGGAUGAGGCUGAAACGCCUUCCAGUUUGAACACGAGAGCCCACAAAACUGUACCCUAAGAAGUGAACCAAACAAGACCAGUAAUUCAUUAAGAUCGCACAAGGCAGUCGGAUCCUGCCUCCUGUCCGAGACCGACGGGUGGUGCAACCAACCAGAAACACCCCUGUCUCACCAAUUGUG